This 384-nucleotide ribosomal RNA is filed under the name uncultured bacterium. RNAcentral describes it as "bacterial SSU rRNA". It matches the Rfam family "Bacterial small subunit ribosomal RNA", at positions 29 to 416 of the family's 1533-position model. The record is from RNAcentral.
AUUGAACGCUGGCGGCAUGCUUUACACAUGCAAGUCGAACGGUAACAGGCCGCAAGGUGCUGACGAGUGGCGAACGGGUGAGUAACGCAUCGGAACGUAUCCUGUAGUGGGGAAUAACUCAUCGAAAGGUGAGCUAAUACCGCAUAAGCUCUGAGGAGGAAAGCGGGGGACCGAAAGGCCUCGCGCUGCAGGAGCGGCCGAUGUCCGAUUAGCUAGUUGGUGAGGUAAAGGCUCACCAAGGCGACGAUCGGUAGCUGGUCUGAGAGGAUGAUCAGCCACACUGGGACUGAGACACGGCCCAGACUCCUACGGGAGGCAGCAGUGAGGAAUAUUGGACAAUGGGCGCAAGCCUGAUCCAGCCAUGCCGCGUGAGUGAAGAAGGCC